This 253-nucleotide ribosomal RNA is filed under the name uncultured bacterium. Its description in RNAcentral is "partial 16S ribosomal RNA". It matches the Rfam family "Bacterial small subunit ribosomal RNA", at positions 524 to 776 of the family's 1533-position model. The record is from RNAcentral.
UACGUAGGUGGCAAGCGUUGUCCGGAUUUACUGGGCGUAAAGAGCGCGCAGGCGGUCGUUCAAGUCGCGUGUGAAAGCCCCCGGCUCAACUGGGGAGGGUCACGCGAUACUGAUCGACUCGAAGGCAGGAGAGGGUAGUGGAAUUCCCGGUGUAGUGGUGGAAUGCGUAGAUAUCCGGAGGAACACCAGUGGCGAAGGCGGCCACCUGGGCUGUACCUGACGCUCAAACACGAAAGCUAGGGGAGCGAACGGG